This 69-nucleotide transfer RNA is filed under the name Paralithodes camtschaticus (red king crab). RNAcentral's name for it is "tRNA-Thr". It matches the Rfam family "tRNA". From Rfam's summary of the family: Transfer RNA (tRNA) molecules are approximately 80 nucleotides in length. Their secondary structure includes four short double-helical elements and three loops (D, anti-codon, and T loops). The record is from RNAcentral. Lineage: Eukaryota; Metazoa; Arthropoda; Malacostraca; Decapoda; Lithodidae. RNAcentral also lists the same sequence under 1 other name.
GUUUUAAUAGUUUAAAUAAAAAACAUUGGUCUUGUAAAUCAAAAUUGAAAUUUUUAAUUUCUUAAAACU